This 1002-nucleotide long non-coding RNA is filed under the name Bemisia tabaci. RNAcentral's name for it is "lncRNA ENSSSA1UGG003693". Lineage: Eukaryota; Metazoa; Arthropoda; Insecta; Hemiptera; Aleyrodidae. The record is from RNAcentral.
CUUUAUUGUACAUUGCUUGAAGUACGUUCAUGAAAUAUUGUUCUCUAGCAUUCGAUGACUCAAUUUUUGAUCGCAAAAUCUGUGUCCCGAGUCCUCUAACAUUUAGACUUCUAUUCCGGAAAUCUGAUUAAUUCCGAAUUCCUCAUUAUUUUGUCCCACUUUUAGACUUUAGAGAUGUCACUGGAGCAAGAAUCACAUGCGUGUACAUCGGUUUUGAAGAUCUCUUUCGCUGUAGUAAUGGGAAGGAUAGAAAAUUUCACGAAGUCGAGUCAUUGCAACGAGAGGAAAAUAAAUGAAUGGAAUUGAAAAGUAUUUGCUUAAAAUUUGACCUAUUAAAUGUUAUUUAAAUUUAUAUUGUUUUGAUUUUAUUAAAGUACUUAUGUUUUAUAAUAAAUUGCAAUAAAUUUAAUUUAUUUGUUUGGAGACGGAAAUGGAAAGUCAAGGCUCGUAAUUCUAUGAGUUGCAAAAAUGUACAUAAUCUUGAGCAAGAUCGACAACGAUGAAAAAGUAGGGAAUCGAUCGUGGAAGCACAAAUGCAAGAUUGCACGUAUCUCAAUUUAGGACUUUCCAAAUUUCCUGUCACAUUGCACUUUUUCAAGGAUACCGCGAACGAUUCUGAAGAUGGCUUGGCCAAUGUUCUUUCAUGAAAUCAGCUCAUUUGAUGUUUCUUGGUUCUUUCAACAAUUUUUUUUUGCAAAUUCCCAGUUAAUCACAGGUAUACCAUGAUCUCUUAAAAAAAAAUUUCGCUCUGUCGAGAAAGAUCUCGGUAAAAUUAAAAACUAACAAAUUAAAGCUAAUGGAAACUUACUAUUUGAUCCAACUAUAUUAAGCACCUUCUUACUUUCCUAGUAUUAUCAUCAAUGAAUACAUUAUUUUGGAGGAAAUAGCCAAUAUUACGAACUGACAUUAUUAUUUUCCUGGCACCAUCGAUUCAAACUUAUCAUUAUGCAUACUAUGGCCGCAGUCGUCACAGCGUCUAGGCAUUCUAGGCACGUCAUGCCA